UUCCCUGUGGCUCAGUUGGUAGAGCAUGGUGUUUGCAACGCCAGGGUUGUGGGUUCGAUUCCCACGAGGGACC
RNAcentral lists this transfer RNA (73 nucleotides) under Salmo salar (Atlantic salmon). It matches the Rfam family "tRNA". From Rfam's summary of the family: Transfer RNA (tRNA) molecules are approximately 80 nucleotides in length. Their secondary structure includes four short double-helical elements and three loops (D, anti-codon, and T loops). The record is from Rfam by way of RNAcentral. Lineage: Eukaryota; Metazoa; Chordata; Actinopteri; Salmoniformes; Salmonidae.